GCAGGCUAGGCAGGGAGGUUAGCCCUCUCCUGUUACCGUUAACGGGCUUCAAACGGUGUCGAAGUCUGAGAAGCAGCAUACAUCCUGUAUGUGAGUCUUGUGCUGGACGUUGAGGUUCUGUCCGGCAGGAUUGUGUCUGCAGGAAUCUGGCCAGGACCUGACGGUAGCAACCAUAACUGUAGUUCUCAAUGCUUGUCGGGUUGCGGAGCUGAGAAAGGCAUAAGGUCAACUCUUAUGCAGUUGUGUGCUCAUUCUUGGGCACGC
RNAcentral lists this signal recognition particle RNA (264 nucleotides) under uncultured archaeon. Its description in RNAcentral is "Bacteria_large_SRP". It matches the Rfam family "Archaeal signal recognition particle RNA". The record is from RNAcentral.